UAUUUUCUCUUUAAAUAUGAGUGCUCUACAGUAAGAUUGUAAACUUUAAUUAUAUGUGUCUGUUUUUGCAGUGACUCAAUGUGGAUUGUGAAGACACAGAAGGGGACGCAUUUGGAUCUUGAAUCAUGAAUGUUGAAUCUUGAUGCUCACAGAAAAGGAAGUCAACCAGACAGUCGUCGCUGCCGCACCACGAUCACUCGGCGGCAUCCACAUCAUCUAGUGGUGGUGGAUCUACAUGCAAGGAGCAUGCGCACUACCACUGGAUGUGGAUGCUGGAUGAGUUGGGCAACCUCGGCCGCUCCAGUACCAACUGCCCGACCAGGUGUUGCUAACCAUAUUCGGCUACUUGCUGUCGGUUUCAGGGCAUCAGCUCUGUCGUCGCCGCCGCACCACGAUCACUCGGCGGCAUCCACAUCUAGUGGUGGUGGAUCUACAUGCAAGGAGCAUGCGCACUACCACUGGAUGUGGAUGCUGGAUGAGUUGGGCAACCUCGGCCGCUCCAGUACCAACUGCCCGACCAGGUGUUGCUAACCAUAUUCGGCUACUUGCUGUCGGUUUCAGGGCAUCAGCUCUGGAUUGAGACCACAAUAGGAGGCAUAAAGUCCCUUGAUAAUUUUGAAAACAGAGACGUUAUAGUGAGGUCCACGUUAUAAUGGCAGUGGAGGAAAGUAGGAGAACAACGUUGCCAAUUAUCUGCCUUGCCACUGCCUUCUGAAGAGGAUAGCUUGGUCAAUUUUACCACCAACUUUGGUCAAUAUCUAUUGUUAGUUCCUAAAGGCUCUGAAAAUUGAUGAAAUGGAACAAAUUAUUUGGACAAGACACUAGAAAAAUUCUACUCGGUCGGUUUUGAAAUCAUACCUCAAGAUACUUGCGAGAUCUUCGUCUGCACUGCACUAGCAUUUCAGCCAUUGGUGAUAAGAUGCUAAAACAACCAUGCCAUUGGCGGUAUUCGAACCCACAACCAGCACAACGCAGCCAUAGCAGCUGCUUUAGGCCGGAUUGUAUUUUUAAUUAUUUAAAAACUAUUUAAACAAUAGAUACCAAAUCCUCAAAAUUGAUAAUAAAACCAGCCUUGAUUAUAGUCUUGCACAGGGAACAGUCCUGUCUCCGAUUCUCUUCCUAAUCUACAUGAAUGAUCUUCCCAAGUUAGAAUUAAAAAAUGGAGUGUCAAUCGCUUUUGCCGAUGACACUUGAUUGUUAUUCAAGGGAGCCAAUUGGGAGGAUACUAAGAAAGCAGCAGAAUCCGGGCUCAAAAUAGUGAAAUCCUGGUUCUACUUCUUCCUCACCCCCUGUUUCUCUUCCCGAUAUUUUCAAUGCAUGUUAGUUAACAUAACUAAGUUGCAUGUUAUCCCUUUAUGAUUUUCUUGCAUUAUUGUUAGUCAUUGAACACUCAGCAUCUGUGCUCAGGUUUUUUCAAACCUUGCAGGGACUUGGUUUAAUAUAUCUAUAUUAUUUAUCCUAUUUGAUGGAAUUUCAUUUUUCAUUUUAUAUUGUAUUUUAGUUUUUUAUAAUCAUUGUUAUUGUAAUUAUG
This is an RNA transcript of Nilaparvata lugens (brown planthopper), 1531 nucleotides long. RefSeq lists it as uncharacterized. Lineage: Eukaryota; Metazoa; Arthropoda; Insecta; Hemiptera; Delphacidae. The transcript has 6 exons. The record is from RefSeq and is a predicted model, not a curated record.